This 514-nucleotide ribosomal RNA is filed under the name uncultured bacterium. RNAcentral describes it as "partial 16S ribosomal RNA". It matches the Rfam family "Bacterial small subunit ribosomal RNA", at positions 28 to 523 of the family's 1533-position model. The record is from RNAcentral.
GAUGAACGCUGGCGGCGUGCCUAAUACAUGCAAGUCGAGCGAACAGAUGAGAAGCUUGCUUCUCUGAUGUUAGCGGCGGACGGGUGAGUAACACGUGGGUAACCUACCUGUAAGACUGGGAUAACUCCGGGAAACCGGGGCUAAUACCGGAUAAUAUUUUGAACCGCAUGGUUCAAUAGUGAAAGACGGUUUCGGCUGUCACUUAUAGAUGGACCCGCGCCGUAUUAGCUAGUUGGUAAGGUAAUGGCUUACCAAGGCGACGAUACGUAGCCGGCCUGAGAGGGUGAUCGGCCACACUGGAACUGAGACACGGUCCAGACUCCUACGGGAGGCAGCAGUAGGGAAUCUUCCGCAAUGGGCGAAAGCCUGACGGAGCAACGCCGCGUGAGUGAUGAAGGUCUUCGGAUCGUAAAACUCUGUUGUUAGGGAAGAACAAAUUUGUUAGUAACUGAACAAGUCUUGACGGUACCUAACCAGAAAGCCACGGCUAACUACGUGCCAGCCGCCGCCGUAA